Long non-coding RNA from Pollicipes pollicipes, 405 nucleotides. RefSeq lists it as uncharacterized. The transcript has 3 exons. The record is from RefSeq and is a predicted model, not a curated record. NCBI's taxonomy places the organism in Eukaryota, Metazoa, Arthropoda, Thecostraca, Pollicipedomorpha, Pollicipedidae.
AUGUGAGUGGGGUGGCCAGAAUGGGAGCGUAGGUGUUGCUGUACUGGUAUUGAAUGGAUAUCAAAGUUUUUAGUCAUUUCAUAAGGUACUUAUCAAACUUUUUAGUAUGUGGCAACAGCAGUAACUGUGCCAAUAUCCACUGUGUCUCGUGAUUUGAAAACUGCGACCAAGUGUUGCUGAAUAAUCUUGGGAGAAACAGCAGGGAAUGACACCAUUGGCAUGAAGUCCUGACAGAGUUUGUGACAAACUGUGGAUUAUGGGCAUAGUUUGCUGUGCCAUUUGAGACAUUUGAAGAGAAAACUCCAAGAUGUCUGCUCAUCACACUCUCAAAAGUUCCACAGAAGAUCAGCAUAGGGCUUCCGAUGAUGAGGACAAAGCUGAGUUCAUGAAGCCAUUUAAAGAAGG